UAAUACAUGCAGUCGAGCGGCAGUCGUUGUAGCAAUACAGUGAUGAGAGCGGCGCAGGGGUGCGUAACGCGGUAUGCGACCUACCUCAUACAGGGGGAUAGCCCGGAGAAAUCUGGAUUAAUACCCCAUGGGACAGCACGAGGGCAUCUGACAGCUGUUAAAGAUUCAUCGGUAUGAGAUGGGCAUGCGUCUGAUUAGCUAGUUGGCGGUGUAACGGACCACCAAGGCGACGAUCAGUAGGGGUUCUGAGAGGAAGGUCCCCCACACUGGCACUGACAUACGGGCCAGACUCCUACGGGAGGCAGCAGUAGGGAAUAUUGGGCAAUGGUCGGAAGACUGACCCAGCCAUGCCGCGUGCAGGAAGACGGCCUUCUGGGUUGUAAACUGCUUUUAUCUGGGAAGAAAAAGGCCAUGCGUGGCAAAUUGCCGGUACCAGAUGAAUAAGCACCGGCUAACUCCGUGCCAUCAGC
This 470-nucleotide ribosomal RNA is filed under the name marine sediment bacterium ISA-7238. RNAcentral's name for it is "bacterial SSU rRNA". It matches the Rfam family "Bacterial small subunit ribosomal RNA", at positions 49 to 515 of the family's 1533-position model. The record is from RNAcentral.